This 484-nucleotide ribosomal RNA is filed under the name uncultured bacterium. Its description in RNAcentral is "partial 16S ribosomal RNA". It matches the Rfam family "Bacterial small subunit ribosomal RNA", at positions 29 to 507 of the family's 1533-position model. The record is from RNAcentral.
AUUGAACGCUGGCGGCAUGCCUUGCACAUGCAAGUCGAACGGCAGAGCGGGCCUCGGCCUGGCGGCGAGUGGCGGACGGGUGAGUAAUACAUAGGAACGUGCCCGGUAGUGGGGGAUAGCUCGGCGAAAGCCGGGCUAAUACCGCAUACGACCUGAGGGUGAAAGCGGGGGAUCUUCGGACCUCACGCUAUUGGAGCGGCCGAUGGCGGAUUAGCUAGUUGGUGGGGUAUAGGCCUACCAAGGCGACGAUCCGUAGCUGGUCUGAGAGGACGACCAGCCACACUGGGACUGAGACACGGCCCAGACUCCUACGGGAGGCAGCAGUGGGGAAUUUUGGACAAUGGGCGAAAGCCUGAUCCAGCAAUGCCGCGUGUGUGAUGAAGGCCUUCGGGCUGUAAAGCACUUUUGGCGGGAACGAAAAGGACUGUGCCAAUACCACGGUUCGAUGACGGUACCCGCAGAAUAAGCACCGGCUAACUACGUG